AAUAUAGUUACCAGAAUAAUAAUAAUGAGGCUAAAUUAACUAAAUUAUUUUUUUUUUUAGUAUAAAGAGUAUAGAAGUAAAUGUUGGUGUGUGUACUGUAAGGGACUAUUAUAAAUAAUUUUCGUAUAGUAGAAUUUAGAAUUCGUACCUUUUGUAUAAUGGGUUGAUGAUUGUUUUACUGCCUGAUAGCAGUAUCUCGAAGAAAAAGGAUUUACUUAAUAAGGUGUAUGUUAACGUUGCAUAGUUAUAUAUUGAUUAUAAAGUGGUAGUGAUAUGUUUAUCGUUUUUUAUGAUAGCUAGUUUAUUAAUAAAAAAUAUUUAAGUAUUAUAAUAUUUAGAUAAAUAAUGUCAAAUAUAAUUGUUUAAAUAUUAGUUUAUUAUACAGGGGAUAAGCUUUGUAUAAUUUAUAGAAUUAUAUUUAUAUAAAUUAGAUUAUUAAUGUAGAGUUAAUAAUGCUUUUCUUUAAAAGUAGUUUAAAUAAAUUUUAUAUAAUUGUUAAAUUCAUGAUGGUAGUUAAUAAAUUUUUAUAAAUUUUUAGUGUAAAUAUUUAUAAUGUUAACAUGAGUAUUGUGAUAUUAAUAAUAUUUUUAUUGUUAUUAUAGAUGAAAAUGGUUUAUAUUAGGAAAGCCAGAUAAGUGAGAUUAAGGAAUUCGGCAAAUAUUAACCUCGCCUGUUUAUCAAAAACAUCUCUCUUCGUAAUUAUUAGAUGAAGAGUUGGGCCUGCUCGGUGAACAUAAGUUUUAACAGCUGCGGUAUUUUAACUGUACUAAGGUAGCAUAAUAAUUUGCCUUAUAAUUUGAGGCUAGAAUGAAUGGUUUGACGAAGGUUAAUCUGUCUCUAUCUUAUUUUUUAGAAAUUAAUUUUGAAGUGAAAAAGCUUUAAUUGUUUAAAGGGACGAGAAGACCCUAUUGAGCUUAUAAUUUGUUAUUACUGCAAUAAUUAAUUUAUGCAGGGGUAAUAUAAAUUUUAAUUGGGGUGAUUAAGGAAUAAAUUUGUAUUAGUAACUUCCUUAUAAUUAAAUAUUGUUAUAUCAAGUAACCAAUAUUAAAUAUUGCUUUUAUAAUAGUUACCAUAGGGAUAACAGCGUAAUUUGUUUAGAGAGUUCUUAUUGAAAAAUGAGAUUGCGACCUCGAUGUUGGAUUAAAGUAACCACAAGGUGCAGAAGCUUUGUUAGGUAAAUCUGUUCGAUUUUUAAAACUUUACAUGAUCUGAGUUCAGACCGGCGUGAGCCAGGUUGGUUUCUAUCUUUUAAACUGGUAAUUGCCAAUCUUAGUACGAGAGGACCAGAAUAGAGCUAAAAUUUUAAUUAAAAUAUAGAGUUGGCAGAAAUGAUGCAAA
RNAcentral lists this ribosomal RNA (1338 nucleotides) under Liocranchia reinhardtii. Its description in RNAcentral is "16S ribosomal RNA". The stretch from base 864 to 1255 matches the Rfam family "Bacterial large subunit ribosomal RNA", at positions 2049 to 2651 of the family's 2925-position model. The record is from RNAcentral. Lineage: Eukaryota; Metazoa; Mollusca; Cephalopoda; Oegopsida; Cranchiidae.